CCUACGGGUGGCUGCAGUCGGGAAUUUUGGGCAAUGGGGGCAACCCUGACCCAGCAACGCCGCGUGAGCGAUGAAGGCCUUCGGGUCGUAAAGCUCUGUCGGGAGGGAAGAAGGUCCUCGGGGUGAACAAUCCCGGGGGCUUGACGGUACCUCCAAAGGAAGCGCCGGCUAACUCCGUGCCAGCAGCCGCGGAAAUACGGAGGGCGCAAGCGUUGUUCGGAAUCACGUGGCGCGGGUGUGGUGUAGGCGGGCCUAACACCGGAACUGCACUCGAAACUGCCUCGCUCGAGUCCCGGAGAGGAUGGUGGAAUUCCCGGUGUAGUGGUGAAAUACGUAGAUAUCGGGAGGAACACCAGCGGCGAAGGCGGCCAUCUGGACGGUGACUGACGCUGAGACGCGAAAGCGUGGGGAGCAAACAGGAUUAGAUACCCCAGUAGUC
This 439-nucleotide ribosomal RNA is filed under the name uncultured bacterium. RNAcentral describes it as "partial 16S ribosomal RNA". It matches the Rfam family "Bacterial small subunit ribosomal RNA", at positions 338 to 795 of the family's 1533-position model. The record is from RNAcentral.